GACGAACGCUGGCGGCGUGCUUAACACAUGCAAGUCGAGCGAUGAAGCACCUUCGGGUGUGAAUUAGCGGCGAACGGGUGAGGAACACGUGAAGAAUCUGCCUUCAACUCUGGGAUAACUCCGGGAAACCGGGGCUAAUACCGGAUAUGAGCCUUGAUCGCAUGAUCGGGGCUGGAAAGUUUUUCGGUUGAAGAUGACUUCGCGGCCUAUCAGCUUGUUGGUGAGGUAAUGGCUCACCAAGGCGACGACGGGUAGCCGCCCUGAGAGGGCGACCGGCCACACUGGGACUGAGACACGGCCCAGACUCCGACGGGAGGCAGCAGUGGGGAAUAUUGGGCAAUGGAGGAAACUCUGACCCAGCGACGCCGCGUGAGGGAUGAAGGCCUUCGGGUUGUAAACCUCUUUCAGUAGGGAAGAAGCGAAAGUGACGGUACCUACAGAAGAAGCACCGGCUAACUAUGUGCCAGCAGCCGCCGUAA
This 479-nucleotide ribosomal RNA is filed under the name uncultured bacterium. RNAcentral describes it as "partial 16S ribosomal RNA". It matches the Rfam family "Bacterial small subunit ribosomal RNA", at positions 28 to 523 of the family's 1533-position model. The record is from RNAcentral.